Molecule: small nuclear RNA, 166 nt
Filed under: Chinchilla lanigera (long-tailed chinchilla)
Lineage: Eukaryota; Metazoa; Chordata; Mammalia; Rodentia; Chinchillidae
Description: U1 spliceosomal RNA (ENSCLAG00000018641.1)
Rfam family: U1 spliceosomal RNA
About the family: U1 is a small nuclear RNA (snRNA) component of the spliceosome (involved in pre-mRNA splicing). Its 5' end forms complementary base pairs with the 5' splice junction, thus defining the 5' donor site of an intron.
Source: Rfam by way of RNAcentral
GUACUUACCUAGCAGGGGAGACUCCGUGAUCACAAAGGUGGUUUUCCCAGGGUGAGGCUUACCCAUUUCACUCUGGUUGUGCUGACCUGUGCCAUUUUCCCAAUCAGUGAGAAAACUCGACUGCAUAAUUUGUGGUAGUGGAGAACUGCGUUAGUGUUUUCCCCUG